UUUCCGUAGGUGAACCUGCGGAAGGAUCAUUAAUGGGAAAUCAAAUCAAAACAAAUGUUCUGUUGCACUGGGUGUGCUGUGUGGUGGUGGUGUGAGACACGGAGAUUCAAUCAUUGGAAUUCAAUCAUUGGAAUUCAAUCAUUGGAGAUUCAAUCAUUGGAGAUUCAAUCAUUGGAGAUUCAAUCAUUGGAGAUUCAAUCAUUGGAGAUUCAAUCAUUGGAGAUUCAAUCAUUGGAGAUUCAAUCAUUGGAGAUUCAAUCAUUGGAGAUUCAAUCAUUUGAGAUUCAAUCAUUGGAGAUUCAAUCAUUGGAGAUUCAAUCAUUGGAGAUUCAAUCAUUGGAGAUUCAAUCAUUGGAGAUUCAAUCAUUGGAGAUUCAAUCAUUCAAUCUCAAUCAUUCAAUCUCAAUCAUCGCCACACAACACAACUAUCUAUCACACUCGAUCAACAACAACACACUCACACACAACAGCAAACAACUUUUAACAAUGGAUCUCUUGGCUCUU
Molecule: unclassified non-coding RNA, 504 nt
Filed under: plant metagenome
Description: partial contains small subunit ribosomal RNA, internal transcribed spacer 1, and 5.8S ribosomal RNA
Source: RNAcentral